AACAAGUUAGCGGCGGACGGGUGAGUAACACGUGGGUAACCUGCCUGUAAGAUGGGGAUAACUCCGGGAAACCGGAGCUAAUACCGAAUAACACUUUCGCUCGCAUGAGCGGAUGUUAAAAGACGGUUUCGGCUGUCACUUACAGAUGGACCCGCGGCGCAUUAGCUAGUUGGUGAGGUAACGGCUCACCAAGGCGACGAUGCGUAGCCGACCUGAGAGGGUGAUCGGCCACACUGGGACUGAGACACGGCCCAGACUCCUACGGGAGGCAGCAGUAGGGAAUCUUCCGCAAUGGACGAAAGUCUGACGGAGCAACGCCGCGUGAGUGAUGAAGGUUUUCGGAUCGUAAAACUCUGUUGUUAGGGAAGAACAAGUAUGAGAGUAACUGCUCGUACCUUGACGGUACCUAACCAGAAAGCCACGGCUAACUACGUGCCAGCAGCCGCGGUAAUACGUAGGUGGCAAGCGUUGUCCGGAAUUAUUGGGCGUAAAGCGCGCGCAGGCGGUUCCUUAAGUCUGAUGUGAAAGCCCACGGCUCAACCGUGGAGGGUCAUUGGAAACUGGGGAACUUGAGUGCAGAAGAGGAAAGCGGAAUUCCACGUGUAGCGGUGAAAUGCGUAGAGAUGUGGAGGAACACCAGUGGCGAAGGCGGCUUUCUGGUCUGUAACUGACGCUGA
This 677-nucleotide ribosomal RNA is filed under the name Priestia koreensis. RNAcentral's name for it is "bacterial SSU rRNA". It matches the Rfam family "Bacterial small subunit ribosomal RNA", at positions 86 to 749 of the family's 1533-position model. The record is from RNAcentral. Lineage: Bacteria; Bacillati; Bacillota; Bacilli; Caryophanales; Bacillaceae.